Molecule: non-coding RNA, 87 nt
Organism: Mycena galericulata
Lineage: Eukaryota; Fungi; Basidiomycota; Agaricomycetes; Agaricales; Mycenaceae
Source: the annotation of a GenBank genome assembly
GGGUGCUUGGCGCAAUGGCUUAGCGUGUUCGGCUUCGAUGCCCACAACCGUACCGAAAGGUUGCAGGUUCGAGUCCUGCAGUGCUCA